RNAcentral lists this ribosomal RNA (253 nucleotides) under uncultured bacterium. Its description in RNAcentral is "partial 16S ribosomal RNA". It matches the Rfam family "Bacterial small subunit ribosomal RNA", at positions 524 to 776 of the family's 1533-position model. The record is from RNAcentral.
UACGGACGGGGCAAGCGUUGUUCGGAAUCAUUGGGCGUAAAGGGCGCGCAGGUGGUUCUGUAUGUCUACCGUGAAAGCGUACGGCUCAACCGUAUUUUGUCGGUAGAAACUGCAGGACUUGAGGCUGGGAGGGGCUGGUGGAAUUCCCUGUGUAGCGGUGAAAUGCGUAGAGAUGGGGGAGAACACUCGUGGCGAAGGCGGCCAGCUAGACCAGUUCUGACACUGAGGCGCGACAGCGUGGGGAGCAAACAGG